GUCGUCGUGGCCGAGUGGUUAAGGCGACAGACUUGAAAUCUGUUGGGCUCUGCCCGCACAGGUCUCGAAUCCUGUCGGCGACG
Ciona savignyi (Pacific transparent sea squirt) is the source of this 83-nucleotide non-coding RNA. NCBI's taxonomy places the organism in Eukaryota, Metazoa, Chordata, Ascidiacea, Phlebobranchia, Cionidae. The record is from Rfam.